UGGGGAAUUUUGCGCAAUGGGGGAAACCCUGACGCAGCAACGCCGCGUGAGUGAUGAAGGCUCUUGGGUCGUAAAGCUCUUACAGAGGGAAAGAAGUGUGCGAGGGCUAAUAUCCCUUGUACUUGACGGUACCCUCAAAGGAAGCACCGGCUAACUCCGUGCCAGCAGCCGCGGUAAUACGGGGGGUGCAAGCGUUGUUCGGAUUUAUUGGGCGUAAAGCGCGUGUAGGCGGUUUGUUAAGUCUGUUGUGAAAGCCCUGGGCUCAACCCGGGAAGUGCACUGGAUACUGGCAAACUUGAAUACGGGAGAGGGUAGUGGAAUUCCUGGUGUAGGAGUGAAAUCCGUAGGUAUCAGGAGGAACACCGGUGGCGAAGGCGGCUACCUGGACCGAUAUUGACGCUGAGACGCGAAAGCGUGGGUAGCAAACAGG
Molecule: ribosomal RNA, 430 nt
Filed under: uncultured bacterium
Lineage: Bacteria
Description: bacterial SSU rRNA
Rfam family: Bacterial small subunit ribosomal RNA
Source: RNAcentral